This 3036-nucleotide long non-coding RNA is filed under the name Nicotiana benthamiana. RNAcentral describes it as "long non-coding RNA (NBEN_LNC010676)". The record is from RNAcentral. Lineage: Eukaryota; Viridiplantae; Streptophyta; Magnoliopsida; Solanales; Solanaceae.
UUCAAUUAACACUUACAUGGAAAGAGAUAAAAGAAUGAACUACAAAUAAUGAAGUACUAACACCAUUGUUUUUUAGGAUUAAAAGCUUACCAGGUCUAUUAACCAAUUACCUGGACUCUCAGGCAUAUGCGACCAAUAGUGACUCAUUCAUAUUCAUCUAAGUUCAUCACAAGAUGGCCACUUCAUUAGAAUUGAUCUUUUAUUGGAAUUAACAUGUCCCAGUUGAAGCACAGAUCCCUAUGCACAUCAAUGGUAACGAAUGAUUCUUGAAUAGCAGGAUAAAAUAUAGAUCAGACAUAAAAAUAGUAACUAGUAUUGUAGUCAAAUUUUAACCGCGCUGCGCAUGGCCAUUUGAAGUAUCUAUUAUAGAUUUAGAUAACUUUACAGGGACAUUAGAAAAAACAGAAAUAACAGGAGAAUCUUAUCAAGAGAAUAAAUUAACAGAGGAGAAGUUACUUGCAUGCACCUUCUAGCUCAAUGAAUGUGAUUUUAUGUGAUUAAUUGUCAACAUACAGUCGCCUGAAAUUAUGAAUUAUAAGGUUGCAAUGGAGAGGUGGAAAUGGAGAAGAAAGAGGUGAUAACUAUACUAACGUAGAAAUUAUGCACAAUUUUAUCAUCCCCUUUACUAAUGAAACAAAAAUCUUUGGAACACUUUGUUUAAAGUAACUUUGUGACUUGUAUACAUUCUUGUCUGAUUACUGCACCUAUAGAAGAAAGAUAAGUCAGAGCUGGACUUAUAUAAAAAGGAAAACUCAAUUUCCUUUUUCAGAAUAACAAAAGGAAGAAGCUGGACUUAUAUAAAAAAGAAAACUCAAUUUCCUUCUUCAAAAUAACAAAAGGAAACCAAAAUUUUCUCAAGUUAGGAAUAGAGUGCCCAGAGUGUGGAAAAUAAUGCCAUUCCUAUUUCCCCUCAAUUGCAUUUAGCAAGAUGACAGUCAUAUUCACUCCAAGAGUAUGGAAGAACUACUGACCUCUCUACUUGCAAAUGGCUUGAUGCGAGCAAUCAGAGAAAUAUAUUUUAGUUUUCAUGUACUGUUAUCAUUAAACCACAAAUAUUGAUACAUCUCAGUUGACAUUUUAAAAAUCUCUCAGAAAAGUACUGACAUUAUGGAUCAUUGAACGAACAAAAUGCAAGUAUGGAUGCACUUACCUUGAGUUUAGGAUAAGGGGCCUGGAGUUUUUCGUUCGCUUCUCCCGGGGUGGGUCCGCAGGGUUACUCAUAAAUAAUUUGUGUUUACUGUAUGAUACUAUUACAUGCUAUUGUAUUUUGGUAUUUUUGUUUCCUUUGUUCAGAUUAUUAUUAACGCUAAUUCUGCUGAAAUCUCUAAUGCAUUAUGCUCUAUUGUUUUUGUUUUUGUUUUUGUAUCUGAUGCUAUUGUAUUUUGGUGUUUUUCCUCUAAUCCUAUGAGCCGAGGGUCGAUUGGAAACAGCCUCCCUGCCCUUUCGGGUAGGGGUAAGGCUCGUCUACAUAUUACCCUCCCCAGAUAGUUUUCAUGUACUGCUAUCAUUAAACCACAAAUAUUGAUACAUCUCAGUCGACAUUUUAAAAAUCUCUCAGAAAAGUACUGACGUUAUGGAUCAUUGAACGAACAAAAUGCAAGUACGGAUGCACUUACCUUAAGACGUUUGUCAAAGUUCAGACAUGGCUGAAAAGAUUGUCGAUGAGUGUCAAUCAAUCUAUUCUAACAAAUUUAUCAAUUGCAACACAGUAAUUUAAUCAAUUAAUGUUUAUUCAAAGAAUCUGGAGCUAUAGAGACCCAAUCCUGAAGCUAAACUUGACAUGUGUGUACUUCUAUCAACUAAACAAUGUCCUACUUCUCUAAAAGAAUAUAGAGAGUAAGGUAGUAGAUCCAAUAAGCAAAAGAUUACCUUUUACUAGAAUGUCGUAUGCCUAUGUAUAACCUGAUAUAUUAAGCUAAAGAAAAUAAGUCUCACUAAAACGUCCAUGCCAUUUUGAUCUCACACAAUUUUGUUAGGGUAUAAAAGGAGAAACCAAAGACAAAAUGGAAAAUGACGGACUAACAUAAUGUAUCCAAAGGAAAUUAGAAACCAAAAUACUAACUGAUGACACUAGAUUAUUGCUUUUCAAUAAAAAUUUCACUAGUUUUUUUAAAAUUCUAUCUCCCUUAUAGUGUCUGCAACAAAUACCAUAUCAUCCCACAGAUGUUUUGAUUUUUUAGAAUCAAAUUUUCAUUACGAACUCUACUUCACCCACAACUCUUUUUUCAGUCAACCAAAUUUCAACCACUAAUCAGACAAUUCCUUAAGAUAAACAAUAUAAAAUAGUUUUUCAAAAAAUAAAGGUAGCUAAGUGCAAGACAAGAGGGGUUGCUCUGAUGGUAAGCAACCCCCACUUCCAACCAAGAGGUUGUGAGUUNNNNNNNNNNNNNNNNNNNNNNNNNNNNNNNNNNNNNNNNNNNNNNNNNNNNNNNNNNNNNNNNNNNACUUCCAACCAAGAGGUUGUGAGUUCGAGUCUCCCCAAGAGCAAGGUGGGAAGUUCUUGGAGGGAAGGAUGCUGGGGGUCUAUUUGGAAACAGCCUCUCUGCCCAAACGUAGGGGUAAGGUCUGCGUACACACUAUCCUCCCCAGACCCCACUAAAUGGGAUUAUACUGGGCUGUUGUUAUUGUAAAGGUAGCUAAGUGCAAAUACGACACCUAUUUUUACAGAUCAAAGCAAAAUAACAUGGAACCCUAGAUCCAAAUCAAUACAUAAUGAAAAAGGAGAUUAAAACAGAAAGGACCUGGCCGAACUUUGUUUGAAGUUAGGAGUUGAGAUUACUGAAGCUGCGGCGGAGAAAAUCAAACUCCAUACGAGCUUCAUCAUAGACCAGAAGCUUCGCCAUUCCUUCUCGUGUUCGAAUCGAUGGCCACAACACCUAAUUUUACAGAUAAAAGAAAACUAACAAUGGAACCCUAGAUCCAAAUCAAUACAUAGUGAAAAAGGAGAUUAAAACGGAAAGGUCCUGGCCGAACUUUGUUUGAAGUUAGGAGUUGAGAUUACUGAAGCUGGGCGGAGAAAAUCAAUCUCCAUACGAG